This 433-nucleotide ribosomal RNA is filed under the name uncultured bacterium. RNAcentral describes it as "partial 16S ribosomal RNA". It matches the Rfam family "Bacterial small subunit ribosomal RNA", at positions 29 to 507 of the family's 1533-position model. The record is from RNAcentral.
AACGAACGCUGGCGGCAUGCCUAACACAUGCAAGUCGAACGAUGCCUUCGGGCAUAGUGGCGCACGGGUGCGUAACGCGUGGGAAUCUGCCUUUCGGUUCGGAAUAACUCAGGGAAACUUGAGCUAAUACCGGAUAACGUCGCAAGACCAAAGAUUUAUCACCGAAAGAUGAGCCCGCGUAGGAUUAGCUAGUUGGUGAGGUAAAGGCCCACCAAGGCGACGAUCCUUAGCUGGUCUGAGAGGAUGAUCAGCCACACUGGGACUGAGACACGGCCCAGACUCCUACGGGAGGCAGCAGUGGGGAAUAUUGGACAAUGGGCGAAAGCCUGAUCCAGCAAUGCCGCGUGAGUGAUGAAGGCCUUAGGGUUGUAAAGCUCUUUUACCCGGGAAGAUAAUGACGGUACCGGGAGAAUAAGCCCCGGCUAACUCCGUG